RNAcentral lists this ribosomal RNA (254 nucleotides) under uncultured bacterium. RNAcentral's name for it is "partial 16S ribosomal RNA". It matches the Rfam family "Bacterial small subunit ribosomal RNA", at positions 524 to 777 of the family's 1533-position model. The record is from RNAcentral.
UACGAAAGGUGCAAGCGUCGUUCGGAAUGACUGGGCGUAAAGCGCACGUAGGUGGGCUUGUAAGUCGGAUGUGAAAGCCCCAGGCUUAACCUGGGAAUGGCACCCGAAACUAUGAGUCUUGAAUGCCUGAGAGGUUGGUGGAAUUCCUGGUGUAGGAGUGAAAUCCGUAGAUAUCAGGAGGAAUAUCGGAGGCGAAGGCGGCCAACUGGUGGUGCAUUGACACUGAGGUGCGAAAGCGUGGGGAGCAAACAGGA